CAUCUCGACCCCCAUAAAUAAAGCAACAUUUCUAUUCAUUACUAUUUCAAACAGUUUUAAAAUGACCUAACCUACACCUGCCACAUCUCUAUGGAGUCAAAGGUCACAACUUUCUUCAACAUCUGUUUUUGUUGCAGCCUCACUUUUAGGUUUUGUUCUAAGCCCCAGUUUCUAUCACUCCAGAACAUUGGGAGGGGACACGGCCUCCACCCUCACAGACCACAGUGGUAUCACGUAUUAGGACAUUUUUCUCACAUACUGUACUUUUACUUAUUCAUGGCAGUAACAGAUGGUAAUAAUCUAGUGACAUUAGUAAAUGUUGUUGGUUUCGUUCUAACCUCUUACUUCUAUCACUCCAGAACAUCAGGAGGAGACACGGCCAUGAUGGUUUCUAAGACUUCACCUGAAGAACAGGAACUUCUCAAGAACACCCUGAAGGAGGAGACGUGGCCAUGAUGGUUUCCAGGACUUCACGUGAAGAGGAGGAUCUUCACGCUACAGAAACCACGGGGAGGACACGGCCCCCCCCGCGCCUGCUACCACAGGACCCGCCCUGAUGAUCCAGGCCCCCGACAACGGGUGGGAUUUGAACCAAUCUCCUGCGACUUCCAGCCGCGGUUGAACCACCACACGCCACCAAGAACCCUUCACACUUGGACCUUCUCUCUGAGCGCUUUGGUCAUCGUCACUUUGGACUUUGUACUUUAAAAGUCACGACUGUCAUAAGAUUUGAACCCAUGACUUAAAAAGUUUCAACCACUCAUUCAACUCUCUGAGCUAUUUAACUGCAAGUUUCUAGUCUUUCAUUGACAUUUUCCAUCUGUUUCUUUGGAUGUUGAUCUUCAAAAGUCACAACUGUCAUAAGAUUUGAACCCAUGACUUCACGCUCACCAUAGACUCUUCUAACAGUCUGAGCUAUUUGUCCACAUGUUCCUUGUCUUUCUUGGAGCUUUUCAGUCUCUACUUUGAGUAUUGGACUCUAAAAUUCAAAGACUACGAUAGGAUUUGAACCUACAUCUUCAGAACCUCCAAUAAGUCCUCUACCAGCCUGAGCUAUCUCACCACACAUGUUCUCACUCUUCCUGGAGCUUUUCUGUUUGUUUCUGUGGUUGAUUAAAUCUAAAAGUUCUCAUGGGGGAUUGAACACAUGUCUCAAAAACAUUAAUGAACUGACCUAACACC
Molecule: long non-coding RNA, 1182 nt
Organism: Mugil cephalus (flathead mullet)
Lineage: Eukaryota; Metazoa; Chordata; Actinopteri; Mugiliformes; Mugilidae
Exons: 3
Source: RefSeq, a predicted model, not a curated record